GUACUGAUGAAGAGUCCCAGGCAACAGGACAAAACAGCUGUCGAGUAC
Molecule: non-coding RNA, 48 nt
Filed under: Trichobilharzia regenti
Lineage: Eukaryota; Metazoa; Platyhelminthes; Trematoda; Strigeidida; Schistosomatidae
Source: RNAcentral